This 440-nucleotide ribosomal RNA is filed under the name uncultured bacterium. RNAcentral describes it as "partial 16S ribosomal RNA". It matches the Rfam family "Bacterial small subunit ribosomal RNA", at positions 338 to 795 of the family's 1533-position model. The record is from RNAcentral.
CCUACGGGGGGCAGCAGUAGGGAAUAUUGCUCAAUGGGGGAAACCCUGAAGCAGCAACGCCGCGUGGAGGAUGAAGGUUUUCGGAUUGUAAACUCCUUUUGUUAGAGAAGAUACUGACGGUAUCUAACGAAUAAGCACCGGCUAACUCCGUGCCAGCAGCCGCGGGAAUACGGAGGGUGCAAGCGUUACUCGGAAUCACUGGGCGUAAAGAGCGCGUAGGCGGGAUAGCAAGUCAGAUGUGAAAUCCUAUGGCUUAACCAUAGAACUGCAUUUGAAACUGUUAUUCUAGAGUAUGGGAGAGGUAGGUGGAAUUCUUGGUGUAGGGGUAAAAUCCGUAGAGAUCAAGAGGAAUACUCAUUGCGAAGGCGACCUGCUAGAACAUAACUGACGCUGAUGCGCGAAAGCGUGGGGAGCAAACAGGAUUAGAUACCCCGGUAGUC